AGGAACGAAAGUGAAAGGGGGUGCAUGGUGUAUGGACGAAAAGACCAAUCUAUAUCUUCCAUCCUAGGCCGGCCACCUCCAAGCAACAAGUUACACUCACCUCUUUUUCACACAACACAUCCAAACAGACACUCCUGUCCUUCACCAUUCCAAGUCCCCAGCUCUCUCUCCUCCUCCCAUCCCUCAGCUCCUCCCCUCCCCCCUCCUCUCUCCCAGCAAGAAAUCUUCCAAGUUCCGCACCUCAAUUCCGCCCUAGCCCAACCAGCAACCUUUUGCCAACUCUGUUGAUCUCUCUAGCUAGCCACAAGUCCACAGCGGCAGCGGAUAUCACACCACUUGCUCUUCGCCAGUUGCGAGAGGGAUCAAUGGAGCUGUUCCCGUCGCACCCGGACCUGCAGCCCCAGCUCCAAAUUAGUCCACCCCCUGCCACCAAGCCAAUGGACCUAGGGUUUUGGAAGAGGGCUCUCGACACCACCGCCGCCGCGGCCGCCGCGACCUCAGCAUCAGCGGCAGCAACCUUCACACCCCCGUCCAUCGCCAGGACAUACCCCUCGGCGCCGGCAGCUGCCGGCGGCGGCUUCCAUGCAGCGCACUACGGCGUUGCCGAUGGCCACCUGGGCGGGCUGCAGUUCUUGCAGCACACCCAGCCCAUCCUCCACGAGGUGCAGGACCUGGCGGCGAUGAAGCCCAUCCGGGGCAUCCCCGUGUACAACACCUCGCAGUCCCUCCCCUUCCUCCAGAGCCAGCUCCACCACCACAACCACCACCACCAGCAUUGCUACGACGCGAUCGGCGGCGCGGCAGGCGGGCCGAGGUCGCCCGGCAAGGUCGGCGCGCUGCGGCUGGCGGCGCCGCCGGCCAAGCGGAACUCCCGUGCGCCCAGGAUGCGGUGGACCACGUCGCUGCACGCGCGGUUCGUCCACGCCGUCGAACUGCUCGGAGGCCACGAGAGAGCAACGCCCAAGUCGGUUCUUGAGCUAAUGGACGUGAAGGAUCUAACCUUGGCCCAUGUCAAGUCUCACUUGCAGAUGUACCGGACCAUCAAGACCACUGACCACAAACCAGCUGCUGCUUCAUCCUACGGACAAGCCAAGACAAUCAUCGACAUCCCUGACGACAGCUCCUUCGACAUCGCCAACACCAGCGGGUCCGAGUCUUCAGUCCAGCAAUCUAAUCUUGACGGGAACGAGCAUGGAUCCAACAUGUGCGCUCUAUGGAGCAACAACUCGAGCAUCUUAACAGUGAAAAGUUGGAGUUGCGCGCUUUGUUCCCUACGCCUUUUCCCGCCUCUCCUGUGUUGCAUGCAAAUGGACUCCCACUGAAGAAAAGAUGUGUAGAUAGAUAGGCCGGCAUUUGAUUCUUUCAUCAGCCCAUGAUAUACAGAAAAGAAGGUGAUACUUAAUUCAAUUCCUUCCUUUGUCUUUCUUUCCCUUUUGCUCGUGCAGCAGAGGGGCCUGGUCGUUCCACGGGAAAUCAAGAUCAGAUGCCAACCCAGGCGACAUCAAAUCCUUUGAGGACGUGCAAUCGCAGUGCCCCAAUGUCGUCGCUGAUGAUGCCGCCGACCUGAUGUCAGCUCCAUUCCGAUUGUCGGAGCUGGUCGUCGGCGCCAAGAAACCGAAUCUGGACUUCACCCUAGGAAGAAUGUAAGGCCGCCGUCGAUUUGUCGACCGGCCGGCAACGGAAGAUAUGCGUAGCUAGCUAGCUAUAUGUGACCAUCUAGAGAUUAAUCAUCAGAUGCAUACUCGUGUGGCUCCCGCCCCAUAUGCACGUAACGUACGAAGAGGAGGAGGAGGGAACCAGAGGUAGGAGCUGAGAAAGCAAAAGAGGCAGGCAGCUGGGGAAUUAAAGAAUAAGACGAGACCACCGUUGAUCUAGGAACAAAGUGCAAAAGGGGCUGGGGAGGGAGAGACAUGGGUGCGUGCAAGUGUGCGUGCGUGGUAGAGAGAUGGAUAGUGAGAUAGAUAGGCUUUAUCAAAGGCAGGCAGGAGCAUGCAACAAGCUCGUUAGCUUGCCUGCCUGCCUAAAGGGCUUGCUUCUGGUGCACAACACACACACACACGAUCGAGCUUGAAGAGUGUGUGCAUGUGUGCGUGCACUUCAUGGCAUGCUGCCUGAUGAGACAGAGCUGCUAGGUUAAGAAAAGGUCUCAUCUUUUUGUUAUGCCACAAGAAAGGUUUAAAGCUGAGAUGCUUAUGUUACAUA
RNA transcript from Triticum aestivum (bread wheat), 2202 nucleotides. It is a transcript of the gene named probable transcription factor KAN2, with no coding region annotated. The transcript has 6 exons. The record is from RefSeq and is a predicted model, not a curated record. Lineage: Eukaryota; Viridiplantae; Streptophyta; Magnoliopsida; Poales; Poaceae.